AUUAAAUAUCCACUUAAAAUAUUAACAACUUUUUCUAUGCUAUUUUCAUUUGCCAUUUUCUUAUAUAUAUAUAUUUGGUUGGUUGGUUGGUUUUGCUUUUUCUUUGUUUUUUUGUUUUUCGUUUUUUUUUUUUUUGUUUGUUUGUUUUUUGUUUUUCCAGACAGGCCAGGGCUACAGAGAAACCCUGACUCAAAAGAAGAUUCUUGCUGUCAAACUUGA
This 219-nucleotide long non-coding RNA is filed under the name Mus musculus (house mouse). RNAcentral's name for it is "predicted gene, 49888". Lineage: Eukaryota; Metazoa; Chordata; Mammalia; Rodentia; Muridae. The record is from RNAcentral.